RNAcentral lists this ribosomal RNA (122 nucleotides) under Aeromonas salmonicida. RNAcentral's name for it is "partial 16S ribosomal RNA". It matches the Rfam family "Bacterial small subunit ribosomal RNA", at positions 1418 to 1533 of the family's 1533-position model. The record is from RNAcentral. RNAcentral also lists the same sequence under 1 other name. Lineage: Bacteria; Pseudomonadati; Pseudomonadota; Gammaproteobacteria; Aeromonadales; Aeromonadaceae.
CACCAGAAGUAGAUAGCUUAACCUUCGGGAGGGCGUUUACCACGGUGUGAUUCAUGACUGGGGUGAAGUCGUAACAAGGUAACCCUAGGGGAACCUGGGGUUGGAUCACCUCCUUACCUUAA